Long non-coding RNA from Corvus hawaiiensis (hawaiian crow), 799 nucleotides. RefSeq lists it as uncharacterized. The transcript is spliced from 3 exons. NCBI's taxonomy places the organism in Eukaryota, Metazoa, Chordata, Aves, Passeriformes, Corvidae. The record is from RefSeq and is a predicted model, not a curated record.
GGCCCCCCCCCUCCCCCAUUUGUAAUAGCACAGCAGAUUUGCCUGCUGCUCCAGCUUCUUCCAGCUGCCUGUGGGAUUCCUGAGGAGGAAAGGCCAUGCUUCCCACCUCUUUUGUAGAGCUGUGAAUACCUGUGUGUGUUGGUUCAACAGCAAACAUCUGCAGCUUCCCCCUCUCCCGUGGCAGAGCUGUAUCGUGCAUGGCAGGAGCAGCAUGGAGCAGGUGGAUGGGCUGCCUGGUCCCUUGCCAGGCACGCAGAAAAGAUGAGUUACUCAGCGUGCUGCUUGCAUUUGACAUGCGGUAGACUCCACAGUAGGGAAGACUGAUGUUCUCCAUCCAUCCUGGAUCAGCCUCUUGGGAGCAAGGAGCAUGCUGGACGGACUGAUGGUGCUUCUCAGCUUGUCAAGGGAUGGAGAAACUUAAGGAAAAUGGUGGAGGAAAAAAGUCAAGGCUGGACAGAAAAGGCAAAAUGAGCAGUUGGUGUGAGAAGACAAAGGGAGCUUUGCCAGAGGCUCACUAGGACCUGUCUUGUGUCCCAUCCAGUUGGUGGCUUGGACUCUCUGCCUUUUCUACCUCCAUCAAAACCCACUGAACUGCUUUCUGAGGAUUCUGAGUGGACUGAAACAGCCUCUUGGAACAGCUUUGUUAGCCGAACACAGAAUUAAACUCAUUAUUUUUACUGUGAAUAUUUAAACCGUGUGCUGAAGGUGCCCGUGGUGUUUUCCCUGUAUUGCAAAUCCACCAGGAGCAGCCCCUCAGGCUGCUUGGCUGCCCAGCUGCCCUCUCCCCAGGGGAUUUGUG